UACGUAGGUCCCAAGCAUUAUCCGAUUUUAUUGGGCGUAAAGAGUUCUGUAGGCGGUUAGAUAAGUUGGGGGUUAAAUCCCAGUGCUCAACACUGGAACCGCUCCCAAAACUGUUUGACUAGAUGUACGGAGGGGAAGCUGGAAUUUGCGGAGGAGCAGUGAAAUGCGUUGAUCUCGCAAAGAACACCUAAGGCGUAAGCAAGCUUCUGGCCGUUACAUGACGCUGAGAGACGAAAGCGUGGGGAGCGAACGGG
Molecule: unclassified non-coding RNA, 254 nt
Filed under: uncultured Patescibacteria group bacterium
Lineage: Bacteria
Description: contains 16S-23S intergenic spacer region
Rfam family: Bacterial small subunit ribosomal RNA
Source: RNAcentral